RNAcentral lists this unclassified non-coding RNA (857 nucleotides) under Hevea brasiliensis (rubber tree). Lineage: Eukaryota; Viridiplantae; Streptophyta; Magnoliopsida; Malpighiales; Euphorbiaceae. The record is from RNAcentral.
ACAUGGAGCCAAUCUUGAUGUUGACUCCAGUAACUUGGAUGGGCUCUCGCCACAAGUUGCCUCUUCUUAUCAAAAGGCCCUUGACAUGAUGAAUGCGAGGACUCAUCUCGAGAAUCAAAUAUCUCAUAAAGUUGCACCUGAAUCAGAAAGGCUUCAACACUUUAGGGACUACUUAAAAUUUGAGCAAUCAUUGGGGGAUCCAGCGAGGAUACAGAUCUUAUAUGAGCGUGCCAUAACUGAAUUUCCUAUAUCUAGUGAACUCUGGCUUGAUUAUACUCACUACAUGGAUAAAACGUUGAAGACCUCCAGUCUUGUUCGAGACACUUACAAAAGAGCAUCAAGGAACUGUCCCUGGGUUGGAGAACUGUGGGUGCGAUACUUGUUGUCUCUUGAACGCAGUCGUGCUUCUGAGGAUGAGAUAUCUGCUGUUUUCGAGAAGUCUCUACAGUGCACUUUUUCAAGCUUUGAAGAGUAUCUUGAUAUAUUUCUCACAAGAGUUGAUGGCUUAAGGCGGAGGUUGUCUUUAUUGACAUCUGGAGCGGAAAGCAGCAACUUAGAUUAUAUAAUUAUACGGGAAACUUUUCAGCGUGCAUCAGACUAUUUGUCUCCACACCUGAAGAACACAGAAAGUUUAUUGCGGAUGUACAGAUAUUGGGCCCGCUUAGAAUCAACUCUGGGGAAAGAUCUAGUUGCAGCCCGUGGUGUAUGGGAGCGCCUGCUUAAAAUCAGUGGAUCUGUGCUAGAGGUGUGGCAAGGGUACAUAGCUAUGGAAAGUGAGAUGGGUAAUAUUAAUGAAGCUAGAUCUCUCUUUAAGAGAUGCUACAGUAAACGGUUUCCCGGGACUGGCUCAGAGGACA